GGGGAUGUUCUGGUUUUGACAGCGCAUGACAUUGGACGGUAAGCACGCCGGGCGUCGGAGACUUGCCCGUUAAUCUCAGUUUCCAGACAAUUAGUUGGCAACAACAAUUACGCACUCGCUGCCUAAUCUGCCAAGCAGUUUAGCUUAAUCGGUGCCGCCAAGGCUGCGGCUCCGACGAGUAUCCCUCCGGGCUUCAGGCCGGUCAUGUCCGGAAUAUGGGGUAUCAUCCAGACCGGAUGCACAGGAGGACUCCUUUAAAUCCUGCCAAGACAUAAAGGAUAAGCACAUGAUAGCCUGUCUCCCGGCAGUCAUGUGACGACAACCAAAGAGAGACUAAGCGUGUAGAAAGCUGCCUGGUGCGGCGUUUGGACGGCGGUUCGAGUCCGCCCAUCUCCACAC
RNAcentral lists this transfer-messenger RNA (399 nucleotides) under Candidatus Cryptobacteroides excrementavium. Its description in RNAcentral is "Cryptobacteroides excrementavium Standard tmRNA". It matches the Rfam family "transfer-messenger RNA". From Rfam's summary of the family: Bacterial tmRNA, also known as 10Sa RNA or SsrA, is named for its dual tRNA and mRNA-like properties. Its role is to liberate the mRNA from a stalled ribosome. To accomplish this part of the tmRNA is used as a reading frame that ends in a translation stop signal. The record is from RNAcentral. Lineage: Bacteria; Pseudomonadati; Bacteroidota; Bacteroidia; Bacteroidales.